GCACCCGUAGCUCAGCUGGAUAGAGUACUCG
This 31-nucleotide transfer RNA is filed under the name Actinobacillus minor 202. RNAcentral describes it as "partial tRNA-Arg". The record is from RNAcentral. Lineage: Bacteria; Pseudomonadati; Pseudomonadota; Gammaproteobacteria; Pasteurellales; Pasteurellaceae.